RNAcentral lists this ribosomal RNA (500 nucleotides) under uncultured bacterium. Its description in RNAcentral is "bacterial SSU rRNA". It matches the Rfam family "Bacterial small subunit ribosomal RNA", at positions 26 to 518 of the family's 1533-position model. The record is from RNAcentral.
CGUUAGGAUGAACGCUAGCGACAGGCCUAACACAUGCAAGUCAGGGGCAGCACAAGGAGCAAUCUGAGGUGGCGACCGGCGCACGGGUGAGUAACACGUAUGCAACCUGCCUGUAAGCGGGGAAUAACCCGUUGAAAGACGGACUAAUACCGCAUAAUACUAAAUUACUGCAUGGUAAUUUAUUUAAACAUUUAUGGCUUACAGAUGGGCAUGCGCAUGAUUAGCUAGUUGGAGAGGUAACGGCUCCCCAAGGCAACGAUCAUUAGGGGUUCUGAGAGGAAGGUCCCCCACACUGGUACUGAGACACGGACCAGACUCCUACGGGAGGCAGCAGUGAGGAAUAUUGGUCAAUGGACGAGAGUCUGAACCAGCCAAGUCGCGUGCAGGAAGAAUGUCCUAUGGAUUGUAAACUGCUUUUGCAGGGGAAUAAAGUGCAUCACGUGUGAUGUUUUGUAUGUACUCUGCGAAUAAGGAUCGGCUAACUCCGUGCCAGCAGCAGC